GUCGAGCGGCGGACGGGUGAGUAAUGCCUAGGAAAUUGCCCUGAUGUGGGGGAUAACCAUUGGAAACGAUGGCUAAUACCGCAUAAUGCCUACGGGCCAAAGAGGGGGACCUUCGGGCCUCUCGCGUCAGGAUAUGCCUAGGUGGGAUUAGCUAGUUGGUGAGGUAAUGGCUCACCAAGGCGACGAUCCCUAGCUGGUCUGAGAGGAUGAUCAGCCACACUGGAACUGAGACACGGUCCAGACUCCUACGGGAGGCAGCAGUGGGGAAUAUUGCACAAUGGGCGCAAGCCUGAUGCAGCCAUGCCGCGUGUGUGAAGAAGGCCUUCGGGUUGUAAAGCACUUUCAGUCGUGAGGAAGGUGGUGUAGUUAAUAGCUGCAUUAUUUGACGUUAGCGACAGAAGAAGCACCGGCUAACUCCGUGCCAGCAGCCGCGGUAAUACGGAGGGUGCGAGCGUUAAUCGGAAUUACUGGGCGUAAAGCGCAUGCAGGUGGUUUGUUAAGUCAGAUGUGAAAGCCCGGGGCUCAACCUCGGAAUAGCAUUUGAAACUGGCAGACUAGAGUACUGUAGAGGGGGGUAGAAUUUCAGGUGUAGCGGUGAAAUGCGUAGAGAUCUGAAGGAAUACCGGUGGCGAAGGCGGCCCCCUGGACAGAUACUGACACUCAGAUGCGAAAGCGUGGGGAGCAAACAGGAUUAGAUACCCUGGUAGUCCACGCCGUAAACGAUGUCUACUUGGAGGUUGUGGCCUUGAGCCGUGGCUUUCGGAGCUAACGCGUUAAGUAGACCGCCUGGGGAGUACGGUCGCAAGAUUAAAACUCAAAUGAAUUGACGGGGGCCCGCACAAGCGGUGGAGCAUGUGGUUUAAUUCGAUGCAACGCGAAGAACCUUACCUACUCUUGACAUCCAGAGAACUUUCCAGAGAUGGAUUGGUGCCUUCGGGAACUUUGAGACAGGUGCUGCAUGGCUGUCGUCAGCUCGUGUUGUGAAAUGUUGGGUUAAGUCCCGCAACGAGCGCAACCCUUAUCCUUGUUUGCCAGCGAGUAAUGUCGGGAACUCCAGGGAGACUGCCGGUGAUAAACCGGAGGAAGGUGGGGACGACGUCAAGUCAUCAUGGCCCUUACGAGUAGGGCUACACACGUGCUACAAUGGCGCAUACAGAGGGCAGCAAGCUAGCGAUAGUGAGCGAAUCCCAAAAAGUGCGUCGUAGUCCGGAUUGGAGUCUGCAACUCGACUCCAUGAAGUCGGAAUCGCUAGUAAUCGUGGAUCAGAAUGCCACGGUGAAUACGUUCCCGGGCCUUGUACACACCGCCCGUCACACCAUGGGAGUGGGCUGCAAAAGAAGUAGGUAGUUUAACCUUCGGGAGG
Molecule: ribosomal RNA, 1363 nt
Filed under: Vibrio sp. PaH1.14a
Lineage: Bacteria; Pseudomonadati; Pseudomonadota; Gammaproteobacteria; Vibrionales; Vibrionaceae
Description: 16S ribosomal RNA
Rfam family: Bacterial small subunit ribosomal RNA
Source: RNAcentral